This 598-nucleotide ribosomal RNA is filed under the name Trichoderma harzianum. RNAcentral describes it as "eukaryotic LSU rRNA". It matches the Rfam family "Eukaryotic large subunit ribosomal RNA", at positions 1 to 607 of the family's 3401-position model. The record is from RNAcentral. Lineage: Eukaryota; Fungi; Ascomycota; Sordariomycetes; Hypocreales; Hypocreaceae.
UUGACCUCGGAUCAGGUAGGAAUACCCGCUGAACUUAAGCAUAUCAAUAAGCGGAGGAAAAGAAACCAACAGGGAUUGCCCCAGUAACGGCGAGUGAAGCGGCAACAGCUCAAAUUUGAAAUCUGGUCCCCAGGGCCCGAGUUGUAAUUUGUAGAGGAUGCUUUUGGUGAGGUGCCGCCCGAGUUCCCUGGAACGGGACGCCACAGAGGGUGAGAGCCCCGUCUGGCUGGCCGCCGAGCCUCUGUAAAGCUCCUUCGACGAGUCGAGUAGUUUGGGAAUGCUGCUCAAAAUGGGAGGUAUAUGUCUUCUAAAGCUAAAUAUUGGCCAGAGACCGAUAGCGCACAAGUAGAGUGAUCGAAAGAUGAAAAGCACCUUGAAAAGAGGGUUAAAUAGUACGUGAAAUUGUUGAAAGGGAAGCGCUUGUGACCAGACUUGGGCGCGGCGGAUCAUCCGGGGUUCUCUCCGGUGCACUUCGCCGCGUCUAGGCCAGCAUCAGUUCGUCGCGGGGGAAAAAGGCUUCGGGAACGUGGCUCCUCCGGGAGUGUUAUAGCCCGUUGCAUAAUACCCUGCGGUGGACUGAGGACCGCGCAUCUGCAAG